GCGAAGGGAGCUCGGUUAGGUUGAGUAAUAGACUGUGAAUCUAGAGGACGUGGGUUCGAAUCCCAUUCUUCGCCC
RNAcentral lists this transfer RNA (75 nucleotides) under Phyllymenia taiwanensis. RNAcentral describes it as "Grateloupia taiwanensis tRNA-His". It matches the Rfam family "tRNA". From Rfam's summary of the family: Transfer RNA (tRNA) molecules are approximately 80 nucleotides in length. Lineage: Eukaryota; Rhodophyta; Florideophyceae; Halymeniales; Halymeniaceae. The record is from RNAcentral.